This 274-nucleotide ribosomal RNA is filed under the name uncultured bacterium. Its description in RNAcentral is "partial 16S ribosomal RNA". It matches the Rfam family "Bacterial small subunit ribosomal RNA", at positions 523 to 796 of the family's 1533-position model. The record is from RNAcentral.
AUACAGAGGGUGCGAGCGUUAAUCGGAAUUACUGGGCGUAAAGCGCGCGUAGGCGGUUACGUAAGUCGGAUGUGAAAGCCCCGGGCUUAACCUGGGAAUUGCAUUCGAAACUGCGUAGCUAGAGUCUGAUAGAGGGAAGUGGAAUUUCCGGUGUAGCGGUGAAAUGCGUAGAUAUCGGAAGGAACAUCAGUGGCGAAGGCGGCUUCCUGGAUCAAGACUGACGCUCAGGUGCGAAAGCGUGGGGAGCAAACAGGAUUAGAUACCCGGGUAGUCC